Physeter macrocephalus (sperm whale) is the source of this 1660-nucleotide long non-coding RNA. RefSeq lists it as uncharacterized. Lineage: Eukaryota; Metazoa; Chordata; Mammalia; Artiodactyla; Physeteridae. The record is from RefSeq and is a predicted model, not a curated record. The transcript has 3 exons.
UGACCGUGGCAUUAAGUCCUCGGACGGAAAAGCCGUUGUCGCGGCCCGAGUCGGGGGCAUCGUACUGGUUCGGGGAGACUCUGGGUUGAUUUCACCGUUUCCUACAAAUGACCUCAAGCCCUUGGCCGGAGCCACUCAGAACGGACUAUUUGUCUACUCUCUCUCAAAGGCUGGGAAGGGGCUCCCGCAAGGCCUCGGCUGUAAACCCGUUGUGCUUCCUGAGUAGCUUCCCAGCGACAACCCGCCGUCCCACUUGGGACACUGGCUUCCUGGUCAGCUGCCUGGAAGGAGGGACGCCGGCCUCUGACCAACUGCCCGAGUGGAGCCCACCGCCCGGGGACCCUGGACUGGAACGGCAGCCCCAGAAACACGGGCUGGGCUGCAGGAGCUUUAAGAUGUGCUUUGAGGCUGGCAUUUCUGCCAGCAAAAUUCUAAAUUCUGCGUGAUCCGUGGUCACCUUAAGGUCACGACCUUCAGUUAUGCUCCAUCGACUCUCCCAAGGAACCCAGCAGACCCGUCCCCUGGGUCACGCCCGGGCUGGUUUGCUGUCGUCAGCGGCGUGGCCGAGAGGGAACGUUGAGCCGGCGCCACCUGGAGCUGCCUGGCCCCGCUCCCGCCGUCGUGCUUCUCAGUUGUCUGGAGUUUAAGCACACGUGAUGGACACUGGAGGUGCUGAGAUGAGGAUAUGCUGGUGGCCAGAGGACGGGACACAGGUGCAAGCGGCAGGUUUUAACCCAGGUGCGGACUUUCUACCAAAGAAGCAGGGAGGAUGUAUCAGAUGCACAUUGACUGCUCUGUGAUGGUCCUGGACCUCGAGGGAGGUUAGUUUGGGACAGAAGACCAGAGGGGAGGGGCUUCCCUGGCGGUCCAGUGGUUAAGAGUCUGCACUUCCACUGCAGAGGGCACGGGUUUGAUCCCUGCUCUGGGAACUAAGAUCCCACAUGCCACAAAAUGUGGGGAAAAAAGAAAAAAAAGAAAAAGAAAAAGAAAACCAUAGGGGAGCUGUUUCCUACAGGAGCACAGAAUCAGGGAACCAGCUCUGACUCCACGUUGGUUUUAUAAGCAUGAUUAGAUGUGUGAAAAAAUAAGCAACGUCUACUCUUCUAAAGAGUGUCUUUUAAGAGAGAUUUGUUUAAACCAUGCCUCCUCUUUUCCCCAAUAAGGAGAAAAGUACACACUGAAAUAAGGACGUACAGCAUCCAGGGUUAAUCUAUGGGUAAAUGAGAUGAUCUAUUAACUCUGGCACAGAUUCCUCGGGACGUAACAGGACUCAUGUUAGGGUUUAAGGACUUGGCGCUUCCUAGGUUUAUUGCUGUGUGCUCUUAUAGGAGGUUACUUAUGUCUCAGUUUCUUCACCUGCUAGUUGGGGCUAAUAAUGCUUAUCUCACAGACUCUUGUAGGAUUACAUGAGGGAGCACAUGUGACGUACAGCGCCUGACAUGUAACCACUGCUCAGUGAGCAUGAGCUGUGUAUGGUGACUGGUGAGGACACCCAUGUGUCCUACUGCCUGCAUUCUGUGAGCCUUCUGUGGGCCCCUCACACUCAAAGAUCACACAAGCCUUUUGCUCCGCCAUUAACCCUAGUUUAUAUUGAGUUGGCCAAAAAGUUUGUUUGGGUUUUUUUUGUAAGAUCUUAUAAUAACAUAACAUAAAAGUGGUA